Molecule: ribosomal RNA, 249 nt
Filed under: uncultured Chitinophagaceae bacterium
Lineage: Bacteria; Pseudomonadati; Bacteroidota; Chitinophagia; Chitinophagales; Chitinophagaceae
Description: partial 16S ribosomal RNA
Rfam family: Bacterial small subunit ribosomal RNA
Source: RNAcentral
UAAGGAAUAUUGGGCAAUGGACGCAAGUCUGACCCAGCCAUGCCGCGUGAAGGAUGAAGGUCCUCUGGAUUGUAAACUUCUUUUAUCUGGGGCGAAAACAACUCUUUCUAGAGUUCUUGACAGUACCAGAGGAAUAAGCACCGGCUAACUCCGUGCCAGCAGCCGCGGUAAUACGGAGGGUGCAAGCGUUAUCCGGAUUCACUGGGUUUAAAGGGUGCGUAGGCGGGCUAGUAAGUCAGUGGUGACAUC